UUAUUGAUAUGCUUAAGUUCAGCGGGUAGUCCUACCUGAUUUGAGGUCAAGAAGUU
Molecule: ribosomal RNA, 56 nt
Filed under: Utraria mammiformis
Lineage: Eukaryota; Fungi; Basidiomycota; Agaricomycetes; Agaricales; Lycoperdaceae
Description: Lycoperdon mammiforme partial large subunit ribosomal RNA
Source: RNAcentral